AUGUUAAAAAUUUUACUAGAGGAAAAAAAAAAAGCCGAUUGUGCUAAACUAUAUACAGCAGAAAUGAGAAUAAACGAUUUAGUAACACAGGAGAUGAAUGAAAAAGAAAACUAUACCAAUAAACAAAAUGUAACAGUACCAACAAAAGAAACGAGUAAUAAAAAAAAAGAAAAAGACAAAAAGAAGGAUAAAAAAAAAGAUAAAAAGGGUGAGGAAAGGAAAGAGAGUAAAAAAAAAAACGAAAAAAACGAAAAAAACGAAAAAAACGAAAAAAACGGAAAAAACGGAAAAAACGAAAAAAACGAAAAAAACGGAAAAAACGAAAAAAACGAAAAAAACGAAAAAAACGAGAAAAACGAAAAAAACGAGAAAAACGAAAAAAACGAGAAAAACGAAAAAAACGAGACAAAUAACAUGAGCGGACCAAAUGACAUAAGUGCAACAAGUGAAAAUCCAAACCUGUUAAACUACUUUUUUGUGAAAUUAUUUGAUAUAUUGAAUGUACAUACAUAUAUUAUAGACGACAUAAAAUUAAUAAAAAUAAUAAAAAAAAUGGAGUUAACAAAAAAUAUACAUAUAAAAAUUGGUCAUAAUUUAAAUAAAAUAAUUUAUUUUAUUUUUUUUAUUUUUAAUUUUAUAUCUUUAGAACAUGUAAAUUUAUUUUUCACAAAAGUAAAAAAUUAUACAAUAUUAAAUGACUUUUGUCUAUUUGUAAAUUAUAUAAAAUAUAAUUAUUCUUAUUUUUUAUUUUUAUUUCAUUUUAUAUUGACAUAUUUUGACAUAAAAAAUAAUAUGAAUAAACUUUAUUGCGAUAUUAGUAUACCUUUGAAGGCAGGAUUCGAUUUUUUACAACUUUCAUCAAAAAAUGAUAAAACUAGUAAUAGUUUAACUAUAACUAAUAUAAACGGUAGUAAUAUAAACGAUUGUAAUGUAAGCUGUAGUAAUAUAAACUGUAGUAAUAUAAACUGUAGUAAUAUAAACUGUAGUAAUAUAAGUUUUGGUAAUAUAAAAACAGAAUAUAUUCAACUGCUUAAAAACAGAAUAAUUGUUAAUAAUAAAUAUAUUUGUAUUAUAUCUCCACAAAUAAAAAAUAAUAUAUUAAAUAUAAAAAAUAUAAAAAAUAUACUAGAAUGGAUUAAAUUAUUAAAAAUAAUUGUUUUUUUAAAUGUUUCUGAUCUGUUUAUUUGUGGACAACUCUUUUUAUUAUUUUUGUUUUUUAUUUAUAAUAAAUCUAUAUUGAAAGGAAGAGUAUGUAAAAAUAAAAAAAAAUAA
RNAcentral lists this long non-coding RNA (1272 nucleotides) under Piliocolobus tephrosceles (Ugandan red Colobus). Its description in RNAcentral is "lncRNA (ENSPTEG00000013636.1)". Lineage: Eukaryota; Metazoa; Chordata; Mammalia; Primates; Cercopithecidae. The record is from RNAcentral.